UUACAAGUACACUGUACACCCCUCAAUACUAACUACUCAAGUACUCAUCUUGUAUUUGAAAUUGAAUAUAACAUAAUAAAGAUUUCUAGAUGAAGUUAAGACUUAAGCCGCGAUGAGCAAUGAGCACUGACCUUUGACUAUUGAGUCGCGAGCAUUGAGCAGACAACAGUUGCGGGAUGCGAGCAAUCAACGUCAGCGAGGAGCCAGGAGCAGCGGCAAGCUUGAGACGACGAGCUGAGAGAUGAGAGUUGAGAGACGAGCUCGGAGCCGCGGCGUAACUAAGAGUCUGAGACGACAGUUGAAACUGAUGGACUACGGUGGUCUCAGAUUAGGGAUUUCUAAUUCAGAUUGGAAUUUGGGCCUGGGCAUGGGUUAUUGGGCUGAGAGUUGUAUUUUUAUUAAAGGAAUGGGCUGAGAUUUAAUGAAGGGGU
Molecule: long non-coding RNA, 431 nt
Filed under: Solanum tuberosum (potato)
Lineage: Eukaryota; Viridiplantae; Streptophyta; Magnoliopsida; Solanales; Solanaceae
Description: long non-coding RNA (STUB_LNC005053)
Source: RNAcentral